CGUUGAUUGACGUGCUUGCACUGAUUUCAACAUUGGAACGAGUGGCGAACUGGUGAGUAACACGUGGAAAACCUGCCCAGAAGCAGGGGAUAACACUUGGAAACAGGUGCUAAUACCGUAUAACAACAAAAACCGCAUGGUUUUUGUUUGAAAGGUGGCUUCGGCUAUCACUUCUGGAUGGUUCCGCGGCGCAUUAGCUUGUUGGUGGGGUAACGGCUCACCAAGGCGAUGAUGCGUAGCCGACCUGAGAGGGUAAUCGGCCACAUUGGGACUGAGACACGGCCCAGACUCCUACGGGAGGCAGCAGUAGGGAAUCUUCCACAAUGGACGCAAGUCUGAUGGAGCAAUGCCGCGUGAGUGAAGAAGGGUUUCGGCUCGUAAAACUCUGUUGUUGAAGAAGAACGGGUGUCAGAGUAACUGUUGACAUCGUGACGGUAUUCAACCAGAAAGCCACGGCUAACUACGUGCCAGCAGCCGCGGUAAUACGUAGGUGGCAAGCGUUGUCCGGAUUUAUUGGGCGUAAAGCGAGCGCAGGCGGUUUCUUAAGUCUGAUGUGAAAGCCUUCGGCUUAACCGAAGAAGUGCAUCGGAAACUGGGGGAACUUGAGUGCAGAAGAGGACAGUGGAACUCCAUGUGUAGCGGUGGAAUGCGUAGAUAUAUGGAAGAACACCAGUGGCGAACGCGGCUGUCUAGUCUGCAACUGACGCUGAGGCUCGAAAGCAUGGGUAGCGAACAGGAUUA
Molecule: ribosomal RNA, 741 nt
Filed under: Levilactobacillus namurensis
Lineage: Bacteria; Bacillati; Bacillota; Bacilli; Lactobacillales; Lactobacillaceae
Description: bacterial SSU rRNA
Rfam family: Bacterial small subunit ribosomal RNA
Source: RNAcentral